Molecule: long non-coding RNA, 1262 nt
Organism: Mesocricetus auratus (golden hamster)
Lineage: Eukaryota; Metazoa; Chordata; Mammalia; Rodentia; Cricetidae
Exons: 2
Source: RefSeq, a predicted model, not a curated record
GAAAGAGUAUUACAAGACUCAGUGAAAUUGACUUAUAUUUUUCUUUGAAGGUCCUAUGCUAUGUGAAGACACUCCCGAACUCGAUCAGCAAGCAAAGCUUCCCAGUGGAGGUUUUGUACAGCAUGGCUGUGUUUAGAGGUGACAGUCUGCUGGAUGUGAAGAGACAUCGAUCGGGUGAGCUGAGAGCAGCAAGUUUUCCAAGUAUGUGGAGGUGAGCGGAGGCCAGGAGAGGCACCACCAGGUGAGCAGCCCUCCCAGAGGAGAGCCUGGCUUCCCACUCAGCACUCCCACACCCUGUCCUCGCUACAACAGUCGCAUCAACGCUUCAUCCAUUACUGUGUCCCCUGGUGUGUGUGGGGUGGUGUCAACAGAUGCCCACAGCUGAGCUGAGCAGUGUGGACUCUCAUGGAACACAACCUUUGGAAUGGGGGUUUAAAGGACAGAGGAAACGCUAUCUGGCUUAUGCAAACUGGAAGACUGGCGUACAGCGAGGUGUCCCCUUGAGAACAAAGACUCUCAGAUCUGAACAAAUGGGCAGGUCACACUCCGACGUGCCUUGUUCCUUACGUAGACUGCGUGCACAGCCGCUCUGUUUUAGGGAACCCAGCAAAGAAAAUUCAAGGAAAUGAAAAGCACCCCUCCCCGCACUCCUAUUCUUCUUAGAUAACAAAGGACAGAUAAUUAUCUAAAGUAUUUCUCAACCUGAACAAAAUGGAAAAGUGACCUUUUCUCUGUGUCUAUUCGCUGCAGUGAUGUCAGCAGCCAGGCAAUGGGCAGGCUGAGGGAAUGCUCAGAGGAGGUGGCCCUCGCUCCCCAGCCUGUCACAAAUGCCAUAAACACAGAACUACUUUAACAGGCAGCCAGACCUGGACUGCUCCCAGUCACCCCUAGGGAGUGAUAAAUGCUCUUGCUGGUAGACUUGCAUAAACUGAGACGCAAUGAAUUUUUUUAAAGAUACUCCCUGUGCUCAAUAAACUUGAAUGUUUCAAGCCUGAAGGAUGGCUAGCCCAAGAAGGAAAUUAAUCAAUCUGGCAAGAAAAACCAAUCAUUUGGAGUGCUGGUAGAUUAACCUAAAUGUAAAGGGUAUUGAAUUCAGUAAUUUAAAAAUCACAUGCUUGCUAGUUGAAAAUCCCCACUUCUAGCUUUAUGCCAUUUAUAAAAUGCACUUUGAGAGUAAGAGAGGGCAAUGGGGAUGUAUGAAUAUGAUCUGAGUAUAUUAUAUGCAUGUUUGAAAUGUCAAUAAAAAUCCAUUAUUUUACAUA